Molecule: ribosomal RNA, 462 nt
Filed under: uncultured bacterium
Lineage: Bacteria
Description: partial 16S ribosomal RNA
Rfam family: Bacterial small subunit ribosomal RNA
Source: RNAcentral
CGCUGGCGGCGUGCUUAACACAUGCAAGUCGAACGGAAAGGCCCUGCUUUUGUGGGGUGCUCGAGUGGCGAACGGGUGAGUAACACGUGAGUAACCUGCCCUUGACUUUGGGAUAACUUCAGGAAGCUGGGGCUAAUACCGGAUAGGAGCUCCUGCUGCAUGGUGGGGGUUGGAAAGUUUCGGCGGUUGGGGAUGGACUCGCGGCUUAUCAGCUUGUUGGUGGGGUAGUGGCUUACCAAGGCUUUGACGGGUAGCCGGCCUGAGAGGGUGACCGGCCACAUUGGGACUGAGAUACGGCCCAGACUCCUACGGGAGGCAGCAGUGGGGAAUAUUGCACAAUGGGCGGAAGCCUGAUGCAGCAACGCCGCGUGCGGGAUGACGGCCUUCGGGUUGUAAACCGCUUUCGCCUGUGACGAAGCGUGAGUGACGGUAAUGGGUAAAGAAGCACCGGCUAACUACGUG